GGUCCAAUGACCUUUUCCGUGCGUUUAGGUGUUUGAUUUACAGGAUUGACGGUCCGGAUCGAGCCCUUAACUUUGUCGGAUCAAGUUGAAUUUUUUUCCAUACAUGUAUUUUAUCAUGAUGGUCAGAUCUGACGGUUGGAUUUUCGUUUCUCAAGUUUGAUCAUCACAAUCACAAUAUGCCGAAUGUAUAAAAAGUACUUUAGCCGAUGAUAUUCACAGGUUUAGCCAACGAAUUUCAAAGGUUAGUCGACGAAUUUCAAAGGUUUAGUCGACGAAUUUCACAGGUUUAGCCAACGAAUUUCAAAGGUUAGCCGACGAAUUUCAAAGGUUAGCCCACGAAUUUCAAAGGUUUAGCCGACGAAUUUCAAAUUUUAGCAGACGAAUUUAAAGGUUUAGCCGACGAAGUAAAAAUUUAGUCGGCUAAAGUUAUAGGGUAUAUAAUUAAACCCAGCGCUCGACAGCCUCCACAUCGCGAGAAAAAACCCUAAAGCCCGGUCCGCCUCCUCCGCCUCCUCCAUGCUGGUCCGCCUCCUCGAGCCGCGGUCCACAGCCUCCUAGGUUUGGCCCAAUCUCCCUCUCCCGGUC
Molecule: long non-coding RNA, 585 nt
Filed under: Fragaria vesca (wild strawberry)
Lineage: Eukaryota; Viridiplantae; Streptophyta; Magnoliopsida; Rosales; Rosaceae
Description: long non-coding RNA (FVES_LNC000482)
Source: RNAcentral